RNAcentral lists this ribosomal RNA (376 nucleotides) under uncultured organism. RNAcentral describes it as "partial 16S ribosomal RNA". It matches the Rfam family "Bacterial small subunit ribosomal RNA", at positions 527 to 896 of the family's 1533-position model. The record is from RNAcentral.
GUAGGGUGCAAGCGUUAUCCGGAAUCAUUGGGCGUAAAGAGCUCGUAGGCGGGUCCAGCAAGUCGGGCUGUGAAAUCCCGAGGCUUAACCUCGGAACUGCAGUCGAUACUGCUGUGACUAGAGUCCGGUAGAGGAGAAUGGAAUUCCCGGUGUAGCGGUGAAAUGCGCAGAUAUCGGGAGGAACACCAGUAGCGAAGGCGGUUCUCUGGGCCGGUACUGACGCUGAGGAGCGAAAGCGUGGGUAGCAAACAGGAUUAGAUACCCUGGUAGUCCACGCCGUAAACGUUGGACACUAGGUGUGGCGUUCCGACCAACGGGUGCCGUGCCGAAGCUAACGCAUUAAGUGUCCCGCCUGGGGAGUACGGCCGCAAGGCUA